AAUCCUGGUGACUCUAGCGGAGAGGCCACACCCGUUCCCAUCCCGAACACGGAAGUUAAGCUCUCCAGCGCCGAAGAUACUGAGAGGGCAGCCUUUCGGGAAAAUAGGUCGUCGCCAGGAUUUU
RNAcentral lists this ribosomal RNA (124 nucleotides) under uncultured Thermomicrobiales bacterium. Lineage: Bacteria; Pseudomonadati; Thermomicrobiota; Thermomicrobia; Thermomicrobiales. The record is from RNAcentral.